CCGGGAACGCAGGGUGCCCAGAACCAGCGGCGCCUUCCUGCUCCGGAGCGGGACCCUUUGCUUUUAAAAAGCCAGACGCAAACAGGGGCGGCACGGGGGAGCUCGCCGGGGACAGCGCAUGCGGAGGGCAGUAGAUCGGUGCGUUUCGGAUGCAUCUCCUUUGACACCCCCAUGCCCUUGCAAGCCACAAGGGCCGAGUCAGCUGGCCGCCCGCUGCAGACGGAGCCGAUUCAGCACCCCAGCAUGGGGACAGCUCUUUGCAGGGCUCUCCAGUCGGCCCGGCCUGGCUUUGAAUGGGCAGCAGGACACAGCUCCUUGCUGCUUCGAAUCAGAACCCUCGGGACAGUUUGAACGGAAACAGACCCUCCCUCCGCCAGCGCUCCAGGGCAGCCGCUGGCUCUGGGAGCUGCACUUUUCAGACCCCAGCAAGGGAUGCUCUCUCCCACGGACUUAGAGGCUUGCUCCUGGCGAUCUUCUAAUUCCACCCGAAGCAGCGAGAUGUGAGAUUUAGACCAAGCAGAGAUUUAACUGAAAAUGCUGGACAAGUGGAUCCUCCUCCUGUCAUUAUUAACAACCCACAUUCGGAGCAAAACCCAGGAUCCAUACAGGCAGGAAUGCAAUACAAGGGGAAUCCAGUGUCACCCAAAGGCAAUUUGUCAGCUGGAUGAAGUGACAACCUAUUUCUAUUGCCAAUGUCUGCCAGGAUAUGAGGGUGAUGGCACUAAUUACUGUCAAGAGCCUGCUGUGAGCAUCACUGUUUUCAAUAACUCUGAUUGUGAUGGCUUUGGAGAGCAGGUUUGUCUUAUCAAAGUAAUGACUGGAAGAACAGUCACUUUCAGAGUCUCUAUCGCUGGGAACCACCAGCCGUCUAUGAUAAAAUGGUACAAAUUCUACUCUGCCCAAGGACCCCAGUUCCACAGUUAUCGAAGGAGAUUGACACCAGCUGCUAACAUGUCCCCAAAGAUGACUCUGGCCAACAGCAGUCUGGCUCUGAAGCUGUUUUCCAUUGAUGAGGAUGAUUUUUACCCAAACAUGUUCUGGGCUGAAAUCCAAGCAAAAGCCUUACCUGAUAAACAGGCGAAGAUUGAAGCCUAUGAUUUCACAGACUUUCAGAUGUUAAACCCUUCUCACUUGAGAUACUUUUUCGUCCUAGAAAGAAUGCCAAUAGAGCUUGGACAGUUUUUAGAAGGAGACACUAUUACCAUCCAGCUGCCCCAGUAUCUUCAGGUGUCUCCCUCCAGCUUUGUAAAGUGGACCAAGGAGCCUUCGCUCAUGACGCUGUUUGACACCAAUGCUGUUGUGCUGGCCAACGGGACUGAGGGGAUUGAGAUCAAAGGAGUAAAGUAUGAUUGUAAUCUGCUGUAUUUUCAGCCUGUAAACUCCUGUUUCCUUCUCAGUGUCCAGGAGUAA
This 1410-nucleotide long non-coding RNA is filed under the name Chrysemys picta bellii (western painted turtle). Its description in RNAcentral is "lncRNA (ENSCPBG00000019415.1)". The record is from RNAcentral. Lineage: Eukaryota; Metazoa; Chordata; Testudines; Emydidae.